GAUUAGUGGCGAACGGGUGAGUAACACGUGGGCAAUCUGCCCUGCACUCUGGGACAAGCCCUGGAAACGGGGUCUAAUACCGGAUAUGAGUCUCUGCCGCAUGGUGGAGGCUGUAAAGCUCCGGCGGUGCAGGAUGAGCCCGCGGCCUAUCAGCUUGUUGGUGAGGUAAUGGCUCACCAAGGCGACGACGGGUAGCCGGCCUGAGAGGGCGACCGGCCACACUGGGACUGAGACACGGCCCAGACUCCUACGGGAGGCAGCAGUGGGGAAUAUUGCACAAUGGGCGAAAGCCUGAUGCAGCGACGCCGCGUGAGGGAUGACGGCCUUCGGGUUGUAAACCUCUUUCAGCAGGGAAGAAGCGUAAGUGACGGUACCUGCAGAAGAAGCGCCGGCUAACUACGUGCCAGCAGCCGCGGUAAUACGUAGGGCGCAAGCGUUGUCCGGAAUUAUUGGGCGUAAAGAGCUCGUAGGCGGCUUGUCACGUCGGUUGUGAAAGCCCGGGGCUUAACCCCGGGUCUGCAGUCGAUACGGGCAGGCUAGAGUUCGGUAGGGGAGAUCGGAAUUCCUGGUGUAGCGGUGAAAUGCGCAGAUAUCAGGAGGAACACCGGUGGCGAAGGCGGAUCUCUGGGCCGAUACUGACGCUGAGGAGCGAAAGCGUGGGGAGCGAACAGGAUUAGAUACCCUGGUAGUCCACGCCGUAAACGGUGGGCACUAGGUGUGGGCAACAUUCC
Molecule: ribosomal RNA, 731 nt
Filed under: Actinomycetes bacterium
Lineage: Bacteria; Bacillati; Actinomycetota; Actinomycetes
Description: bacterial SSU rRNA
Rfam family: Bacterial small subunit ribosomal RNA
Source: RNAcentral